This 253-nucleotide ribosomal RNA is filed under the name uncultured bacterium. Its description in RNAcentral is "partial 16S ribosomal RNA". It matches the Rfam family "Bacterial small subunit ribosomal RNA", at positions 524 to 776 of the family's 1533-position model. The record is from RNAcentral.
UACGGGGGGGGCAAGCGUUGUUCGGAAUUACUGGGCGUAAAGGGCUCGUAGGUGGCCAACUAAGUCAGACGUGAAAUCCCCCAGCUUAACUGGGGAACUGCGUCUGAUACUGGAUGGCUUGAGUUUGGGAGAGGGAUGCGGAAUUCCAGGUGUAGCGGUGAAAUGCGUAGAUAUCUGGAGGAACACCGGUGGCGAAGGCGGCAUCCUGGACCAACACUGACACUGAGGAGCGAAAGCCAGGGGAGCAAACGGG